This 846-nucleotide ribosomal RNA is filed under the name Priestia megaterium. Its description in RNAcentral is "bacterial SSU rRNA". It matches the Rfam family "Bacterial small subunit ribosomal RNA", at positions 46 to 873 of the family's 1533-position model. The record is from RNAcentral. Lineage: Bacteria; Bacillati; Bacillota; Bacilli; Caryophanales; Bacillaceae.
GACUAAUACAUGCAAGUCGAGCGAACUGAUUAGAAGCUUGCUUCUAUGACGUUAGCGGCGGACGGGUGAGUAACACGUGGGCAACCUGCCUGUAAGACUGGGAUAACUUCGGGAAACCGAAGCUAAUACCGGAUAGGAUCUUCUCCUUCAUGGGAGAUGAUUGAAAGAUGGUUUCGGCUAUCACUUACAGAUGGGCCCGCGGUGCAUUAGCUAGUUGGUGAGGUAACGGCUCACCAAGGCAACGAUGCAUAGCCGACCUGAGAGGGUGAUCGGCCACACUGGGACUGAGACACGGCCCAGACUCCUACGGGAGGCAGCAGUAGGGAAUCUUCCGCAACGGACGAAACUCUGACGGAGUAACGCCGCGUGAGUGAUGAAGGCUUUCGGGUCGUAAAACUCUGUUGUUAGGGAAGAACAAGUACAAGAGUAACUGCUAGUACCUUGACGGUACCUAACCAGAAAGCCACGGCUAACUACGUGCCAGCAGCCGCGGUAAUACGUAGGUGGAAAGCGUUAUCCGGAAUUAUUGGGCGUAAAGCGCGCGCAGGCGGUUUCUUAAGUCUGAUGUGAAAGCCCACGGCUCAACCGGGAGGGUCAUUGGAAACGGGGGAACUUGAGUGCAGAAGAGAAAAGCGGAAUUCCACGUGUAGCGGUGAAAUGCGUAGAGAUGUGGAGGAACACCAGUGGCGAAGGCGUCUUUUUGGUCUGUAACUGACGCUGAGGCGCGAAAGCGUGGGGAGCAAACAGGAUUAGAUACCCUGGUAGUCCACGCCGUAAACGAUGAGUGCUAAGUGUUAGAGGGUUUCCGCCCUUUAGUGCUGCAGCUAACGCAUUAAGCACUCCGCC